AUAAUUUUCUAAGCACCUCAUUUGGUUUGGAAUUAAGAGGUGGAAUAACUCUUUAACCUCGAAGUUAUUUCUAAACACUAAAUUUGGGUUAGCUAACCCUACCCCACCCCAUUACUUCAAUCAAACAAAAUAUUAUUUUACCCACUAUCCUUCUUAUUCCACCUAUUCUAACCAAACACUAUUUUAUCUAUAACUGGACUAAACCCAAUUCUCAACCAAACACGAAAUUACUCUAACCCCACUUUAAUCCUAAACUUAAUUCUAUCUCUGAAAUAACAAAUUUUUACUUAAUCCCGAACCAAACGGUGGCUUAAGGAGAAGACCAUCUUAUAAUACUUAGCUAAAUUU
Molecule: long non-coding RNA, 348 nt
Filed under: Ananas comosus (pineapple)
Lineage: Eukaryota; Viridiplantae; Streptophyta; Magnoliopsida; Poales; Bromeliaceae
Description: long non-coding RNA (ACOM_LNC018840)
Source: RNAcentral